UUUAAGUGCAACCAUAAGUUUCCGCACCUAACUUUGAUCGUCCGUCUACUUUUGAAAUUUUUUUGUAAUUAGUAUUUUUGUUGUUAUGAGAUGAUAAAACAUGAAUAGUACUUUACUCGUGACUUAUGUUUUUAUAUUUUUUCAAAUAAGACGAAUGGUCAAAGUUGGGUACGGAAAACCAUGACUGCACUUAAA
Molecule: non-coding RNA, 195 nt
Organism: Oryza meridionalis
Lineage: Eukaryota; Viridiplantae; Streptophyta; Magnoliopsida; Poales; Poaceae
Source: Rfam